AAGACCUUGUGCUUUUGGAGCGGCCGAUGCCUGAUUAGCUUGUUGGUAAGGUAAAAGCUUACCAAGGCUUCGAUCAGUAGCUGGUCUGAGAGGACGACCAGCCACACUGGGACUGAGACACGGCCCAGACUCCUACGGGAGGCAGCAGUGGGGAAUUUUGGACAAUGGGGGCAACCCUGAUCCAGCCAUGCCGCGUGAGUGAAGAAGGCCUUCGGGUUGUAAAGCUCUUUCAGCCGGAACGAAACGGUUACGGAUAAUACCCGUGACUACUGACGGUACCGGAAAAAGAAGCACCGGCUAACUACGUGCCAGCAGCCGCGGUAAUACGUAGGGUGCAAGCGUUAAUCGGAAUUACUGGGCGUAAAGCGUGCGCAGGUGGUUUUGUAAGUCAGAUGUGAAAGCCCCGGGCUCAACCUGGGAACU
Molecule: ribosomal RNA, 423 nt
Filed under: uncultured bacterium
Lineage: Bacteria
Description: bacterial SSU rRNA
Rfam family: Bacterial small subunit ribosomal RNA
Source: RNAcentral